AGUGAACGCUGGCGGUAGGCCUAACACAUGCAAGUCGAACGGCAGCACAGUAAGAGCUUGCUCUUACGGGUGGCGAGUGGCGGACGGGUGAGGAAUACAUCGGACUCUACUUUUUCGUGGGGGAUAACGUAGGGAAACUUACGCUAAUACCGCAUACGACCUACGGGUGAAAGCAGGGGAUCUUCGGACCUUGCGCGAUUGAAUGAGCCGAUGGCGGAUUGGCUAGUUGGCGGGGUAAAGGCCCACCAAGGCGACGAUCCGUAGCUGGUCUGAGAGGAUGAUCAGCCACACUGGAACUGAGACACGGUCCAGACUCCCACGGGAGGGAGCCGUGGGGAUUAGUGGACAAUGGGCGCAAGCCUGAUCCAGCCAGACCGCGUGGGGGAAGAAGGCCUUCGGGUUGUAGAGCCCUUUUGUUGGGAAAGAAAAGCAGCAGGUUAAUACCCCGCUGUUCUGACGGUACCCAAAGAAUAAGCACCGGCUAACUUAGUG
Molecule: ribosomal RNA, 492 nt
Filed under: uncultured bacterium
Lineage: Bacteria
Description: partial 16S ribosomal RNA
Rfam family: Bacterial small subunit ribosomal RNA
Source: RNAcentral